RNAcentral lists this ribosomal RNA (253 nucleotides) under uncultured bacterium. RNAcentral's name for it is "partial 16S ribosomal RNA". It matches the Rfam family "Bacterial small subunit ribosomal RNA", at positions 524 to 776 of the family's 1533-position model. The record is from RNAcentral.
UACGGAAGGGGCAAGCGUUGUUCGGAAUUACUGGGCGUAAAGCGUGCGCAGGCGGUUUUGUAAGCCAGAUGUGAAAUCCCCGGGCUUAACCUGGGAAUGGCAUUUGGGACUGCAAAGCUUGAGUGUGGCAGAGGGGACUGGAAUUCCUGGUGUAGCAGUGAAAUGCGUAGAGAUCAGGAGGAAUACCGAUGGCGAAGGCAGGUCCCUGGGCUGACACUGACGCUCAUGCACGAAAGCGUGGGGAGCAAACAGG